Molecule: long non-coding RNA, 10772 nt
Organism: Oncorhynchus kisutch (coho salmon)
Lineage: Eukaryota; Metazoa; Chordata; Actinopteri; Salmoniformes; Salmonidae
Exons: 2
Source: RefSeq, a predicted model, not a curated record
GGUACAUUCACCUAGUCCACUUUAAUGCAUGACCCAGCUGUUAACCUUUUCAGUAGAGUGACCUGUGUGUAUUAAUCCUAUAGGAGGCAGUCUGUCAUUGUAACAGCUGGCUGCGUAUGAAGGACCAGUGUUGGGGAGUAGUGAACUACAUGUAGUCCAACUAGUAAUGUAACUACAUUUUGCAGUAACUUGAUGGUAGCUGAGUUAAAUUACAAUCUUAGUUGUGUUUUCAGAAGUUCUUUACUUUUCCGAGGUCUGGCUUGCUACUGGAACUACACACGACUUUUUUUGUGUGCAAAAAGUAGGAAAAAAACCGAUAUGGCAUCAGACCUGCCUAAUUCUCACUUGAGACAUAGUUUUUGUGUUUAAUAGGAUAAAUUACACAUUCUGUUAACAUCUAACUACAGAGCGAUCUGUUCUUGCUAUUUGUAUUCUAUGACAUUUCAAAUGUACAUAUCAUUUUUCAUGGAGUAGUUUUUCAUUCAGGGAGGAGGAUCAGGUAUCUGGUCCUACAUGCAUUUUUCAUGCAGUGAACUGCUUUUUAAAAGUCACUUUAGUUCAGUAAACUAUAAACUCUUUCUUAAGGGCAGCUUUAGUGUAGUUUAACUUCUUCCAGUGUGCAGUAAUUGGUAGCUUGGAAAUCUAUAUUUUCAGAGCAGCUUCCCCAACACUGUCAAGAACACACUGACAGGUUGGAGUCACCUCUCUAGAGAAAUGGGAAACAGGGGAUAUCCUGUGCUGAAGUCUCCCAGGUUAGAUGGACCGAUAUGAUUUACUAUGACUUUACAUACAGCAUUUUAGUGCAUUGAAUGAACUCUCCAGAGGUGAUGCAUUUGAUUUAAAAUAGGGGUCAAUAGGGUACGUUUCUAUCAAUAGCAACAGUGUUGUAGUGUGAUGUAAGGUGGUAGCCAAGGAGAUACUUUUCAUAAGGAUAAAAUGUUCCGAAAGUGAAUUUCAGCCUCCCUCUCUCUCUUUCUCUUUCUUUCGCUUUUUCACCCUCUGUGUCCUCUUGUAUGAGUGUUCACUGUUCCACACACACACACACACACACACACACACACACACACACACACACACACACACACACACACACACACACACACACACGCCCCUAAGCGCCUGGGCCUAAUGGGAAUGUGGCGUCAGUGGUGUGUAGCGAUUGAACACGACAUCUCUGCAUGGGCUUCAGCAGAAUAACACCUGUCCCCCUUUAUCCAAGGAGAAAAGCUGGAAAUUCCCUUCCUCUGAGAGUUGGAUUGUAUUAGCUCUCCUCCUGCACAAGAUUUGUUUCACUCCCUCCUUUUCCACUUUCUCUUCCUUUUUCUUUUUUUCACAAAUAUUUGAUCUUGUUUCACCUGCGCUUGUUUGUGAUGAAAUGAUGCAUGUUGAAUACAAACCAGUCUGUGGGUGAGAGUGGUUAAAAUGAGUAAAUGUUAUAUAAAUGUUACCUGGAUGUUACAAGGGGUGUUUUUUUUUCGGUUCCCUCAGCUCUCUCUGUUUGAAGUAGUGUUGGGUUAUGAUUGGUUUAUCCUGCGAGACUGAUCCGAGGUCAAAGGUCAUAUUCCAUACAGAUCCAUAGUGCUGCCAUUUUGGUUUUCCAUUGGAACCAACAAGGUCCUGGAAGGAAAGAGUCACAAUGCCAGCUCUCUCAGUGAAAGAGAUGAGAGGAAAUCUCACUGGAUUUACACAACUCUUUCCAGACUCUCCAGUCUUCCUGAAGGAAACAGCUACAACAAACAAACAAUUAUGUGGAUUUAAAGAGGGAUUCUCAAGGAACCUGGCGAGAACGUUUAAAAACACACGAUCGGAUAGGUGACUUUUUUGUAAUUUUGGCUCCAAAUCCCUGAACUCCUAAUGUAAGUUUACAGACAUUGACACGUGUGAGAAAGUGUCCUGCCCCUUCAAAAAGACUCAGAUGGUUGACAGGAUGUCCAUCUGUACAAACCAGAGCCCAUACAUACAACCAUUACAACUGCCACCAUUUUGAGUGUGUUUGAAGUACAAUGUAACAAAAAAAGAUGUUUGGUUUGGUUGUUUCAUACUACAGUUUCAUACGUUUCAGAUGUUUUUAUGACUCAAUUUGCCAUUGGUUUGUUUUCUAUUCUAAAUUGUCAACUGUUUGACUCAAUUUGCCAUUGAUUAGUUAUUCUAUCUAAAUAGGAUGUAUGAAUCCCUAGGAGGAGUAAGACUGAAGCUCAUUCAAGUGCUCUCCUGCUCAAGGACCUGCCUCGAUCAUCACACAUCGUUUCCACAACAUUCCCAGAGUGCUUCUGUCACGUCAUAGCAACAUUUGCCCAUUUGUAAAAUGGUCCUUUAGCCAAAGACAGUGGCAAUUAUAUUUGUAUUUUGUAAUAAUAAAAAAUAACCCCGUGGGGGCUCUUCUCUCGGCUUGCUUGCACUACGUUCUUUUUACGAGAGCUCUUGUAAUGAUUUUACUCUCAUGUAGCCUAUGCCUCCCAAUCCGUCAUUUCAAAGCUAUUUUGAUCAAAUUCUUUCAACUCUGCACUGGACAUACCAAGGGGGGUCUUGGGUCAAAACUAGUGCACUACAUUGUGAAUAAGAUGCACAAUAUAGUGAAUAGGUCGCCAUUUGAGACAACCAGAUAUACUAAUCUCCCUCCACUAGGUUGUCAGGAAUGGUCAAAGUUUUCCAUUCUAAAAUAACUUCUGUUGUCUGUUUAAAUAAUACAUGGUUUCCCUGCUAACUCCCAGCAAACGGUGUAAUGGUUGCGGUUUAGACGAGCUGUUGUGUUAAGUGGCCUUUGUUCAGGCUUAUGGGAUAUUUAGCAGAACAGAGCUGUGUUUGGGGGCGUAUUGGGGCGUAGAGGUUGGGAACACCAGGGGUUAGGCUGGAUGCUGGAUAUAGAACACGGAAGACUGUAUUCUAUAGCACUGACCUCACGUAGUUAAGAGUACAUUGGUGACCUACAUGGAGCCUUUGGGCUUGGUUAGUUUUCCAGACCAGGUUGGAGUGUAUACCUUGUACCCAGUGCACUGUACCUGGGGGGACUCGGUGCUCCACAACAAUUCAAAAAAGCAUGGCAUCCCCUCUUGGGCGCCCCAAUAAGCAUUAAACAUAUAAACAUUGAUUGGAUCCACAAUUUCUAUAGUACUCACAAGAGUCACUGCCUAAAAACAAUGAGUCUGAAGCCUAAUCUCAGUUAGCUACUGUAUUCCUCCAUCUUUGUUGUUGAGUCCUCGUUGCCUCAGCAGAGCCCUGGCUUUUAACAGUGUUAUAUUCUAAUUCUGUUAGGGUUGGGUCUAUCUAUCUUAGCUCUCUGUGUGAAAGAUCACACUAUGUACAUAGAGUUGGUAAUACCUACUUAUCCCCCUUUAUACUCUCCAUGAGGCCCUGUUUCUGACAUCUAAAGCCCCCCUGGAGACAGAGUCUGCCCCCUUGGAGACGGAGUCUACGUCCCAAAUGGCACCCUAUUCCCUAUAUCGUGCACUACUUUUGACCAGGUUUCAUAGGGCUCUUGUCAAAAGUAGUGCACUAUGUAGGGGAAAUGUUGCCAUUUGGGAUGCAGACAGACAGACAGACAGACAGACAGACAGACAGACAGACAGACAGACAGAUAUCAACAGCUAUUCAGGCGGCCAUGACAUCAAUGCUUUAUGUUGGAUGCUAUGCUUCAUGACAUGGUGGAACAGUGUGAGUAUUUGAAGAGUUUCCCAUCUCUCAGAGAAUGGGUUGAAAGGCUCAGUGAUGUCUCUAGUUGUGCCCCAGCGGCCCUCUCUCUUCACACGGAUGGACUGUGUGCAGACUACAGAUGGACUGUGUGUGCAGACUACAGAUGGACUGUGUGUGCAGACUGCAGAUGGACUGUGUGUGCAGACUGCAGAUGGACUGUGUGUGCAGACUGCAGAUGGACUGUGUGUGCAGACUGCAGAUGGACUGUGUGUGCAGACUGUAGAUGGACUGUGUGUGUAGACUACAGAUGGACUGUGUGUGCAGACUGCAGAUGGACUGUGUGUGUAGACUACAGAUGGACUGUGUGUGCAGACUGUAGAUGGACUGUGUGUGUAGACUACAGACAACAGAUAGUGAAGAUAAGUCCAUGGCUCUCUAAUCGUGCUGUUGACUUUGAUCAGUGAUCGCCUACCCCAACGCUGUAUGGAACAGAAGGCUACUGAGCUGUGGCUGUAGUGGAGCAGAAAGGAAGGGGGAAAGAGAGAGAGACGGGUUGUAGCAGACACUGACUAUAUAGAUGCUGCAUAGAAGAAAAGGAAAGAGCAAAAGAGGGAUGACAGAAAGAGAGGGCAGAGGCUAGUGACAGGCUGUAUGGAAGGAAAGAGCAAGAGGGAUGGACAGAAAGAGAGGGCAGAGGCUAGUGACAGGCUGUAUGGAAGGAAAGAGCAAGAGGGAUAGACAGAAAGAGAGGGCAGAGGCUAGUGACAGGCUGUAUGGAAGGAAAGAGCAAGAGGGAUAGACAGAAAGAGAGGGCAGAGGCUAGUGACAGGCUAGCUGUAUGGAAGGAAAGAGCAAGAGGGAUGGACAGAAAGAGAGGGCAGAGGCUAGUGACAGGCUGUAUGGAAGGAAAGAGCAAGAGGGAUAGACAGAAAGAGAGGGCAGAGGCUAGUGACAGGCUGUAUGGAAGGAAAGAGCAAAAGAGGGAUGACAGAAAGAGAGGGCAGAGGCUAGUGACAGGCUGUAUGGAAGGAAAGAGCAAGAGGGAUGGACAGAAAGAGAGGGCAGAGGCUAGUGACAGGCUGUAUGGAAGGAAAGAGCAAGAGGGAUAGACAGAAAGAGAGGGCAGAGGCUAGUGACAGGCUAGCUGUAUGGAAGGAAAGAGCAAGAGGGAUAGACAGAAAGAGAGGGCAGAGGCUAGUGACAGGCUAGCUGUAUGGAAGGAAAGAGCAAGAGGGAUAGACAGAAAGAGAGGGCAGAGGCUAGUGACAGGCUAGCUGUAUGGAAGGAAAGAGAAAGAGGGAUAGACAGAAAGAGAGGGCAGAGGCUAGUGACAGGCUAGCUGUAUGGAAGGAAAGAGCAAGAGGGAUAGACAGAAAGAGAGGGCAGAGGCUAGUGACAGGCUAGCUGUAUGGAAGGAAAGAGCAAGAGGGAUAGACAGAAAGAGAGGGCACAGGCUAGCUGUAUGGAAGGAAAGGAAGCUAUCUGAGGAGAAAGAGACAGAGGAGAGAAGUGAGAAGGAUGACAAAAAGAAAGACUAACAGCAGAGCUGGAACGUAUCGAUGGAAAAGAAGCUAUAGGAAGCUAAGAGACCAUUUAUUCUUGAUCUGAAAAUGUGGCCGGAGGCUCCAUAUGACACAAUCACAAAGUCUCCAGAGGAAUGCAGAGGCCAAAUUGAGCUCUGUACCGUAUCGCCGUGUGCCUCUCAAAUUUUCUGUAAGAAUGCAGAGGGCUCAGUAUAGCUCCGCAUUGACAUGAUUGGUUGACGGUAGGUGAGGGCAAGAGGUCCUGUAUAAACACAUACUCACUUCUUUGGCAACUUCCUUCACAACAGCUCUGAGCUGCUCCGCAAAGUGCAAGAAGUACAAAUGUCCUGACUUCUGCAGAGGCCAUAUCACCGUAAAUGCUGCACGGCCGAUAUAGACUGGGGAUUGACCGUGCAUCGCCUUUUAAGUGACAGAAAAGAAGCUGUAGCGAGAACAUGGUGGGACAUUAAUCGUUGUCAGUUUGCAGCCACAUUACAAAAAGCAGAAAGUGGAUUACUUUUCCAUGGAAUUUUUCUCCACCUCUUUCUAAGCUCUUUAUCUCUCUCCAAGCAUUAGGACCUCUAACUGCUAUAACAAUGGACCAGAGAGGCAGGAGGACAGCAGCUUUAUGGCUGAAAAUGGGGUUUCAUUUCACAUAUUAUAGAUAAAUCAGGGGUUACAGAUAUAAGAUCUUAAUUUGAUCACUCUUUUGUUACUGAGAAUUUCAGAUCAGCUUUGUGAUGUACAUAAAUUCACUGAAAACCCACACUAACAUAUGGUUAUAUUAACAGUAUUGUACUUUUCAUGUAGCCUACUUUUGGACAACUAACAGCCUAACCACCGAUCAAGGAACGUUCUGGACUAAAUGUUCAAAUCCUGUUGCUGCAGGAUUAUUUUUGCUGUGACAAUAUAGGUCAAAUGAAGAUCCUGUAUAUCUUGGUCCAACUCAUUUAGAAGCUACAACUAUUGAAACAGUACUAAUGUUCACCCAUAGUUUAUUACUUUGAAUUACUGUCUAAUGGAACUUUCAAUGGAUUCAAAUACAUUUUAUUUUAUGAAUGAUAAUUGACUGAUAUCGAAAAGUGAAAUUUGAAAGCAGAAAAUAUAAAGCCUUUGAUAUACAGCACCAUUUUGCUAGUUUAUAGUCAUUACAACUCAGUUCACAUGCAGUUGAAAAUACUUUUUUGACCCACUACAUGAAUAUUUCAGUCACUCAGUUUCCACUUGUAGUUUAAGAGGCAAUGUUUUCGCGUACAGUUGUUACUGCACUUAAAUGUGAAGUAUGGAUGAUUGUGCUUGUUUGGGCUUCAAAGUAUUUUACUCUGAGUUUAAUAUACGUUUAGUGUGUACCUCUCUCAAUGUGAGGACAGUCCUAUGGCUGGGGGCUGGGAGUGUAUUGAGGGGAUAAGAGGAAGCCUGGUUGGCAGCCAGCUUGCAGCCCUCCAGGCCUCUUGCUAGUCCACUCACUCCUUUUCUCAGGCUAUACUCAUCUGUUUAUCGGCCUGAGAGACAGUGUUCAGACCGUAGAGUGAAGUGACAGGUUGGCGAGAAAGAGAUGAAGAGAGGAGAGGUAAAGAGAGAGGUGGGGAGAGAGAGCCGAAGCAGUAUGAUUAAACAGGAGUGAGCCAUGUCCUGAACAGCAGGUAAUAACGGGAUCUUCAGAGGGGGAGAGAUGGAAAGAAGGAUUUCCAGAAACAAGUACUCUCUAGAGGGGAGAUGAUCCCAGGGCCUCAGCAUGAAGCUUCUAACACCUUUUAUCAGGAAUCUGUCAACAGACUGCUUACAUGGACCAACAGGAUACUGAACACACACACACACACAGAGAGAGAGAGCGUGGGAAGAGGACAGCGCUACAGAACCGAGGCUACUCAGAAUCAUUGGCACGCCUCUCUGGUAUAGAACAGGUCUGAGAACAGAUUGUAAAAUCCUGCUCAUGUUCCCACUAGCUUUCUCCUAUCUACUCCAUCAUAAUUAUCCUCAAACAAUAGCAGGCCUCAUUUCAGCCUUAUCUCAGCCUGGGCUCCAUUGUUAACCAUGACACUGGCUCCCCUGAGGUCCAACUGAGGAUCUUUAGGUCAUCAGCAUAAUGGAUGAAGUCACUGUUAUUCUAGCCAGCCUAAAGAGUUAAAUGGUUUUGUUAUCAUGAUAGGGUUAAUUCCAACAUUAGUCCAUGAUGGGGAAUAAUCCAUUUAAUUUGUUCAAGGGUGUGCCUUGGAGUACAGUACUACUACUUCAUGAAAUGUCCAUUUUGCAAGGCAACAACCGACACUCUCUUUUCUUACAUGUGUCCUUUAAAGGAAAACCAUCCCUCUCACUCUGCCUUUCAGGCUGAAUGUCUUCAGUACAAACUGAACAAACUGAGCUUCAUCUGUUUGUGUCUGACACGUGUGGUUGCUAAGACGUCUGUAGUUGGACAACUUGUAUAGGAGCAACAACCACACUAGCACUGUUUCUGCCUCCACAGUGCUAUUCUGAGCUACAGUAUCGCUCACAUGGCUGUGUGGGAGUCUUUGUAGGCUGGGCGUCUUCAUACUGAGAGUUGGGCUUUGUUCAGUUGGAUAAUUAUGUUAUCCUUUUGGAAGUAGCAUUGCUUGUGGGAUAAGGGGAACAGAGAAUGAAUAUGGAUUCGGUUUUGAUUUUGGCAUUGUUCCUUGUUUGAAAGGGGAUAUUAAUGAAGCAAGAUCGAUAAGAACGAUAACUCUGUUAAAAGUUCAGAAAGAUCUUUCUUGGCAAAGUUUUGCGGAUGCUUGAUUAGUUUGUCCAUCCUGCCGUGUGUCAAAUAAAAGACCGAAGUCCUUGACAAGUGAGAGUCAGGAGUUCACACUAACUGUCUGAGCAACAAUUAUCACAACCGGGAUUUGAUUCAAUGUCAAAUAUGUUUAUGAUUAUGUUCUUCUUUACUAUCGGUCUGGUUGGCCACCCAAUUACACUGUUUAUACUUUGUAGCCCCUGAGGGGAGGCAUGCUAGGCCUCAGCCAAGAGGUCUGAAUCUAUAUGGCACAGAGGUUAGUGUACAUGCCCUACACUCCAGGGUUGCUGGUUCAGAUCCAUGAGCAGGAGAGCACUACACAGAGCUUUUAUACCUGUCCCAAAUCAAGGCUCAGGAAUGUCCAAGACCGUUAUCUUGUAUCAUUUAUUAUGACGAUAGCAUAAACAAUUUUGUUUUCUCCAUGUGCACAUAUAUAUACAAUUUUUCCUAAGGUUUGGUUCCCAAAGAGAAGGUAUGGAUUUAAAAGAAUCUGUGAAAUAUCUGUGAAUUUUGUACUGACUGUAAAAAAAGAAAAGAAAAAAAGUUGAUUGUUUGGCUUUUUGUCUACUGAGCUUGAUCUGUCUGCGUGUUUCUUCUGGGUGGGUUGGGGCUUCGGGAUCUAGGGACGACAGUUGGAAGUACUUGAUUAUCUAUGUCCUAAAGAGGUUAAAGAAUAGAGAAGUUUAACAAGUGAAAUUUAAAAAAGAAACAAAGUUAUAUUUGCAUGAUUUCCUGUAUUUUUCAAGAGAAGAAAUAUAUUGUUGUGUUUAACGAGUGGAUGUAUGUUGAAAACAAACAGAACUGUAGGGACUGAAAUACAGUAUGUGUCAAACUCAUUUCUAAGAUUUAGGAUCAUUUUAAGGUUGACUUUCUUUUUAAAUCUCUCUAAUGUUGAAUAGUUACAUUCAUCUUUAUCUGGUUUUCUGUUUUUCAGUUUCAGCCUAAUAAUGUAUUUCUACUGUCUGUAGUUAGCGUUGCUAUAUUUCUCCUAUUGUUUCUGGCGGGUUGAGUUGUGUGCUGUGGAAAAAACCUUCAGGCCUGUGGGUUGUUUCCAUCCAUUUGUUUGGAAAGCUGGAGGGAUCUGUCCUUCUCUCUAUGACACUGAUUAUUCUCUCCAAUCUAUAGGCAUGUUCUACAUGCAGGCUCAAUAUGCUAAGUUGAUCUCUUCCCAUGGUCAUGGCUACAGGUAAAUGGAACCACAGGGAGUAGUCCUCGAGCUGAUCCUGAGUCUGUCGUUAGUGUGGUGUGAGUAGCCGGAGCAGAGGGAGUUGAGUGCAUUUCAUUUCUUGGCCGUGAGUCAAUGACGUGUUCGCUGGUCCAGCUCCCCAUUAUCUCCUCACUGUGACAGCAGGCCAUAACUCACACAUGUUUACAUUUCUACACAGUGCAUCUAUCUAUAAGGGUGAACCCGUGCCAAAAACAUAAGAGGCUGUCCCGCAUCAAUUACACAGACAAAUGAAACGAAUUAACCUCUUGACUGGGUGUUUACUAGCUCAGCAGAAGAGCUAUUUCAGGCCCGGUGGCCAUUUUGUUUGACUGUUUUGUUGUUUUAUUAGUGUGCAGGUUUCUUCUUUUUUCUCAUCUAGUUUUAUAAGUUGAAAUGAAUCACUACGCCAAUCAGAUCGGUAAAUAGUCCAUUAGCGCCGGUGGCUAAUCUCUGAUGUCCACAGUAACCGCUCCUGCAGCUCCGGUGGAGAAACCCUGUUUUGUUUGCUGGCUGGGCACAUUAAACAGUAGCAGCAGAGCUGGCAGUAUUCCGAUCGAUGCUAAUGCUCUCUGUGCUCAUAAACACCAGGUUGGCUGGUUGGCAUUCCGAACACAUAAUCUGAUACAGCGGUAUGCCUGAUGCCAGCAGGAUAUGAUAGGAUAGUUCUUGGCAGAGGGAUAAGCUCAGAGGCUUCGGAACACAGGCAGCUCUCCUCGGAUAUAGGGCCAGGCAGGAGCACCAUUCUCACCUCAUUCAGGAAAUUAAAUGUCCGGGAUCGAUCAGAGCGCUGGAUGGAGAUGCUCCAGGUCUUUAACGGGCACAAUGGGGUGGUUAGACAGAUGAGCCAAUCACAGCCUAGCUCUCUCUGAGCACUCUUACAGUGGAGACCAGCUCCUGAUAGAAACACUGCAGGUAGAAAUGUAUUGAAAAGAAUGGAACACAGCUUUCUAUGGUGUCCCAUUCUAUGCAAUUAGGUUCCUAUGAACAACGCUGUGAAUGUUUCUCCCCGUCCACUAAGCCCAUGCCUGAUGUGUUAUCCAGUUCUGAUUGGUCGCUCUUUCUAUCUCUUUACUAAUUCUCGUUUUUUAUGAAGGUUCUUUCCAUAGCAACCCAAACAUUAUCAACAAGACAUUAUGUACUCUGAGUACUGACUAUGUGUGCUGGGUCUUAAAGCUGUCUUCUUCUUCUAUUACUUAACAUGGUUUAACAUCUCGUGGUCUAACAGGUCAUCAUGGUUGAAGUGAUCAGGGUUUAGGGUCAUUUGGGUCAUUGUAUUCCAAUGGAGAAAUUCCAAAUUCAACCCUACAGAAAGAAAUUGAACAUGGACUUUCUCCAUAGGAAAACAAUACAAAUCCUGUACUUCAGAUGGAACUGCCCUCAACCGUGUUUAACCGUCAGACUAAACUGUUCUAACCACAGUAUCAAUGGUUCUAAACAGUGUGAUCUGCCAGUACAGUGAUCUCUAAUAUCUCUAGUGUUCUUCUCCUUCCUUCACUUUGCCAGUGAGGACUUAAGGGUGAUAGAUACUGUGGUUUGAAGAGAAAUAUUUCUCUCUCCUUCUUAUGUUGUUGAUGACAACGUUCAUGUUUUAUCCUCACAAUUUCUGUACAAAAGAUCUAUUUCUAUAUUUGCAAUACAUUUGUAAUUAAAAAUGAUGACAAUG